This 87-nucleotide transfer RNA is filed under the name Cenarchaeum symbiosum A. RNAcentral describes it as "tRNA-Ser (TGA) (tRNA-Ser-TGA-1-1)". It matches the Rfam family "tRNA". Rfam says of the family: Transfer RNA (tRNA) molecules are approximately 80 nucleotides in length. Their secondary structure includes four short double-helical elements and three loops (D, anti-codon, and T loops). The record is from RNAcentral. Lineage: Archaea; Thermoproteati; Nitrososphaerota; Candidatus Cenarchaeales; Candidatus Cenarchaeaceae.
GCAGAGGUCGCCUAGCCCGGCAUGGCGCGGGCCUUGAGAGCCUGUGCGAGCAAUCGCACGGGGGUUCAAAUCCCCCUCUCUGCGCCA